Periophthalmus magnuspinnatus is the source of this 506-nucleotide long non-coding RNA. RefSeq lists it as uncharacterized. The transcript is spliced from 5 exons. NCBI's taxonomy places the organism in Eukaryota, Metazoa, Chordata, Actinopteri, Gobiiformes, Gobiidae. The record is from RefSeq and is a predicted model, not a curated record.
UCCUGGUCCAAGUCCUAGUCCAGAUCCAGACUGUGGCGCCACCAUCAGACCUGAACAUGAACAACAGUCUGAGGUUGUACAUGGCUCUUCACAAACAGGUUCUCUGCUGUACAUUGGAGUGAGCCUUGUGGUGAUUGUGCUGCUCUUCUCAGUCGCUCUUGUAUUAUUUUACUGCAAAAAGAAAGAAAACCAGCCCAAAGAGUGUCCAGUGAACAGAGAGUUUGGGGAAGUUCCAGAGGGGGACAGGGAGUACGAGGAGGUGCCGGAGCGACAGGUCCAGAGCACAUCUGACUGGGGUUCUGACAUUUACAGUUUGGCCUCAGCUCCAGCUCACACACAGGUGGACUCAGUGCUGUACUCUGAGGUGACACACUCCAGCAGAAACAGCGCCCUCCACAGUCGGGCUGAGGCAGUGGUCUACUCUGCAGCACAAACUCAAGACACUCCACUGUACUCCACCAUUUCUGCUCUGCAAUAAUAGUGAAAGGUCCCACAUUAUGCUCUAA